RNAcentral lists this ribosomal RNA (755 nucleotides) under Alcaligenes sp. F4. RNAcentral describes it as "bacterial SSU rRNA". It matches the Rfam family "Bacterial small subunit ribosomal RNA", at positions 28 to 758 of the family's 1533-position model. Lineage: Bacteria; Pseudomonadati; Pseudomonadota; Betaproteobacteria; Burkholderiales; Alcaligenaceae. The record is from RNAcentral.
AUUGAACGCUAGCGGGAUGCUUUACACAUGCAAGUCGAACGGCAGCGCAAGAAAGCUUGCUUUCUUGGCGGCGAGUGGCGAACGGUUGAGUAAUGCAUCGGAACGUGCCCAGUAGCGGGGGAUAACUGGCCGAAAGGUCAGCUAAUACCGCAUACGCCCUACGGGGGAAAGGGGGGGAUCGCAAGACCUCUCACUAUUGGAGCGGCCGAUAUCGGAUUAGCUAGUUGGUGGGGUAAAGGCCUACCAAGGCGACGAUCCGUAGCUGGUUUGAGAGGACGACCAGCCACACUGGGACUGAGACACGGCCCAGACUCCUACGGGAGGCAGCAGUGGGGAAUUUUGGACAAUGGGGGAAACCCUGAUCCAGCCAUCCCGCGUGUGCGAUGAAGGCCUUCGGGUUGUAAAGCACUUUUGGCAGGGAAGAAACAGCCUGGGCUAAUAUCCCGGGCGACUGACGGUACCUGCAGAAUAAGCACCGGCUAACUACGUGCACCGGCUAACUACGUGCCAGCAGCCGCUGUAAUACGUANGGUGCAAGCGUUAAUCGGAAUUACUGGGCGUAAAGCGUGCGCAGGCGGUUCGGAAAGAAAGGUGUGAAAUCCAGGGCUUAACCUUUGGAACUGCACUUUUAACUACCGGCUAGAGUACGUCAGAAGGGGGUAGAAUUUCACGUGUAGCAAUGAAAUCGUANAGAUGUGGAGGAAUACCCAUGGCGAAGGCAGNCCCCUGGGUUAUACUGACNCUUAUUCCCCAAA